AAUCACAUAAGCUCCUCUCCUUGCCUUUAAAUCCACCACCGGCGAGGCGUAUCACUAUUUUCAUGAGGUAGUCAAAGAGAUCGAGAGAUGUCUGAAGACAGUUAUGCCACACGAUGGCGACAGAGGGCAGCUGCUCAACAAGUGUCCUCCACACUCUCUCAUCUGAGCACAGAUGGAUUUGGUGUGUUUAAUGUUGGACCCACUGGUAAGACAAACACCCUUUUCCACAAAUAAAGACACUCACAUAAAGUUGCAUAUAUUCAAACCUCACGUGACAAAGGUGGGUUUAGCACACAGAUCACAACAUAAACUCCAAAAAUGGCAUUAAAUAAAUUAAAUAAAUUUGGCCCACAAAACUGAAUAUUAUAAUAUCCGUAUGUUGGCUUAAAGUAGAUUACGCAUCUGAGCACUGAAACAAAUCAUCUGUUCAGCCGCAGCAGCAAGCAAGACGGACAGAGCACACGGAGACGUGUCCAGGUCGAGCUGUGCGAGAAAUAAGAGGAAGAAAGAAAAGGAGGGAGACACAUUACAUAUCUUGUUAACUUCAUCGUGUGUUUAUUUACUAGAUAUUUAAUUUAAUUUGAUGCAGUUUCAGCUGUAUUGAUUCGGUCAGGUUGUGUGCCCAAACGCGUGCCAAACGCGUGCCAAACGCGCUCAUCCGAUCAGAUAUAGAUCAGAAUAUAUCGAUAUAGAUCUAAAUGUAUGUGCUGACUCAGAUUAUUAGUUGUUGAUGAUUAUUUAUUGCACUGAAAUCUGCCUGACACUGUGGAAACCUGCCGGUGAGGCAUCAGUGACGUAUGUCGAUACGCCGCCGUUCUACCAAAAUACUACUAGACCAGCUGCGUUCCGUCUUGCGCUGAAAGCUGACCAGGUUUGAAUCGGCGAGCUUUCAGCGCACGUUACACGCCGGUGGCGAGCACGAAAAUGUCACUGCGCCAGCUGAUUCUGUCAACACCUCCCCCUGCCACGCCACCACGCCCAGCUUGGCGGAUCUCGGCUCGCCUCCGUGCGACUCAGUCCACGAAAAUACCAAACUCGCCUUACGCCGGGCUCUGCCAGACGAAAAUACAACUGCGCGGGGCUCGCCGCCCUCCGCCGCCUCACCGGCGCGAACGAAAAUAGAGCCCUCUGUGUGUGUACACCACUGUUUUCUACUUCUGUAUCAAUUGAGCCACUUCUGUCAAAAAGUCUGAGUAUGCUGCCGGUUUUAGUUCUGACAGCCUGAUCCUUCUCUUCCUCCACUCUUCACUGUGCAGGCUCCUCUUGACACCACUGUGUCAGCACUUUACCUUCAACAUGAACCAGCAUCCGUCUCAUGAUGUACAAGAACCUAAAGAAAGCUCCCCCUCUCAGGAGAGCAUCUGUUCUGAGGAAGCUAUUUAGGGCUUUUUCCUCACCAGCACUCAGACCGCUCCUACCUGGGGCUCCUCGUCGAGACAUUCCUCGUCUAAUUCUCCAAAUGUUUGAGUCAAACAACACUAAGUUAUAUUCUGAUUGUGGUAUGUCUGGCACAGAUAUUGUCUUUAUGAAACCCGAUGUCUGUCGUUCAUUAAGCUAGAAACUGCAUACUGAGUAGUGUGGCAGGAUUUCUGAAACUUGAAUAAUUAUGACUACCAGCUGUUUACACAAGGGCUAGUGGAUUGAUGUGAUUAUCCACAUGAUGUAUCCAUGGCCCCUGAAGACAAACACAGAAAAAGUGCAAUUUUUCACAGAGCUACAGCAGUACAAAUUGCAAAAAAGGUGUGGCACUUGGCUGAAAGAGGAAUCAAGCAGGUGUACGUGAAUUUUUAACUUGAUCAUCAUCUGCUGAUUUUUGAAGGGGAGUUUUGAAGCCAGGGGCUGAUCAAGGGGUUGGCCAAAGGAGGCUGUGCCCCCCCAGUAGACUAUUCGCCAUCCCAAAAUCAUGAUUGGCUGUUAAUGGCUCUUAAUUUAAAUAGUGGGGGGCCUUAGGGAUAUUUUCGUUCACUUUUGUCUAAAAGCGCCAAAUUUGGCACAGGUGUAGCUCAGGGCAUACUUAAAUGAUUUAGCUAGGGCUUUGGGGUCGCCACAGCGGCCAAUCCAAUAUGGCCGCCACUUGUAAUAGCUUUUGUCUCUAACAUUUGAAACAGAUGAGCUACAAAUGUAAACUUGGUGUCUAUUCAUGUGUUUUGACAAUUAGAAAUGUGUUGGAAUGCUCUUUUUUAUUUUUGGGUGUGUCUAGACCCCUAAUUUGCAUAUUUCCAAGUGGCGUUUUGCUAUUCUGAAGACAUUGGAUGUAACUUGGCCAUUGUUAUGAGUAAAACCUGGUGCAAUAGGUCUAAUUCAACUAAUUCUGACAUGCAUGAUUCCUUUCUGAUGUUUAUAUGAAAUGUCAGGGGUGGUGGUGGUGGGGGGGGGUUGGCUGUGGUUGUGACAUUUUGAAGACAUUGGUUUCGCUUAAACGUCAUAGGUGGUGAAAACA
This 2440-nucleotide long non-coding RNA is filed under the name Xyrichtys novacula (pearly razorfish). The record is from RNAcentral. Lineage: Eukaryota; Metazoa; Chordata; Actinopteri; Labriformes; Labridae.